CUCUGUGCCCAUGAUGAAGACAGAGCCUGAGAGUGAGACACCUGGGCUCUUAGUAUGUGAUGAUUUUACAGAGAAGAUUAAUAAUCUGGACACAAACAAUAUUACACAAGGUUGUAGUGAACUGGGAAGUGUCUCUGUACUAGAGCACAAAGAAGAACUGGGUGAGUUUAAUCUUACAGAGCAUGACACGGAGCCCCAGUUGAUUGACCAUGCAGAGCAGCAGACUGAUGUAUCUGGUGAAGAGAAGAGUACUGAGUUACAGCAGCACAAUCAGAGGAAGAGGAAGAAUCAGUCAAGGUCUUGCUCAGAUGGAGUGGACAAACUACCAUUAUGGCACAGGGGGGAGCAGCCUUACUGUCAGUCUAGUAUUUCACAACCCUACCAGCACCUUCACACAGGAGAGAGAUCUUUCGGCUGCAGUCAGUGUGAAACUUAGUAGUCCCGUUUGGGCCUCCAAUAGUCACAGAGUCAGUUGUCAACAGAAUGGGGAUGAUGAUGAACAGGCUGAUCGUAAGAAAUGGAAAAUGGAGUAUCACUUUUUACCGCAAAAGUAAUUUCCCUGGAUAAACAUUUUUCUCCUCCAGGUAAUUUUUAUUUUUGCACGGGUGUGCAGAUUUUCUAAUCAGUUCGAUAGAAACAGUAACCAAAUCUGAAUUGCACUGAGAAUAAUGUACACAAUUAUGUAGGUUUAACCUGUGGAAAUACAUUUAUAAUUACAUGGAAUUCACACACAGUUUAGUUUGAUGGCGAUUCACUUCUCCUGACUAGGUGGUACUAGCAGAUGCAGUGAGGUUUAUAUCCAGCUGCAGAAUCUCCUUUCUCAGCUCAGCUCCUCAGUUGUUUUGGAGCCACCGCAGUGCCAACUAAUGACGUCAUCAUGCUGCGCGGCUGUGCAGACAUUUUACCCACAUGGCGGUGAUUGAAUCAGCAAUUUUAGCUAAAUAAUAAAUUAGAAAGUGAUUGAAUCAGAUAUUUUAGAUGAAUAUAGAGAAAGCUAUUUUCUUUCAAAAAAUGUUUUUGCUGAACUCCUGGAGGCCUGAUCUUAUUUUGCUGCACAUAUCUGUAGACCCUAUUGAAAAAUUUAUUUUGGAUUGGCUCUAUCAAGAUGUUUUUUGCAUGCAAUAAAACUCACUUGUUCAGCUU
RNAcentral lists this long non-coding RNA (1143 nucleotides) under Lepisosteus oculatus (spotted gar). RNAcentral's name for it is "lncRNA (ENSLOCG00000021927.1)". The record is from RNAcentral. Lineage: Eukaryota; Metazoa; Chordata; Actinopteri; Semionotiformes; Lepisosteidae.